Molecule: long non-coding RNA, 279 nt
Organism: Mercenaria mercenaria
Lineage: Eukaryota; Metazoa; Mollusca; Bivalvia; Venerida; Veneridae
Exons: 3
Source: RefSeq, a predicted model, not a curated record
AUGAUGUUGUUGAUGUAGAUGAAGAUGACCUUGAUGUAGAUGAAAACAGGGAAGGAGACCUGCUCAUUACUCUUUUGGCUGUUGGUGCUGAUUUGUGAGAUCAAGAGUUGUCUGUGGAGUCAAUUGGUAUCACGUGUCACGGAAAUUACAGUUGAUCUAUUUCAGGUUUACCAAAGACUAAAUCAAUUGGCAGUCUUAUUUCAGAACCAAACAUCAUUGUUGUAGUAGUGACACCAGUUGACUCGUGCACAGAUGAACGAUAACCCAUUAAGCAGAAAG